GCAGGCGUCGCCAAGUGGUUAAGGCACUGGUUUGUGGUAUCAGCACUCGGGGGUUCAAGUCCCCUCGCUUGCCCCA
Molecule: transfer RNA, 76 nt
Filed under: bacterium
Lineage: Bacteria
Also listed under: 2 other names
Description: tRNA-His
Rfam family: tRNA
About the family: Transfer RNA (tRNA) molecules are approximately 80 nucleotides in length. Their secondary structure includes four short double-helical elements and three loops (D, anti-codon, and T loops).
Source: RNAcentral